UGUAGAAGCCCGGAUGGGGAUCAUUUGUCGAAGAAUCUCGACUGAGGCCUGUCUGCAAUAGAAAUCUGAAGGGAAUUCGUCCACAAUGGAAGCUCGGGUGAAGGCUUACAGUGGGAAUCCGGCACGGACCGCUCGUGGUAGAAAUUUGAAGUAGAUCGUUUGUAGCAGAAGCUCGGAGUGGGUCGCUUGCUGUAGAAGCUCGAAGUCCGGCCUUUGUAGG
RNAcentral lists this long non-coding RNA (220 nucleotides) under Elaeis guineensis (African oil palm). RNAcentral's name for it is "long non-coding RNA (EGUI_LNC069752)". The record is from RNAcentral. Lineage: Eukaryota; Viridiplantae; Streptophyta; Magnoliopsida; Arecales; Arecaceae.